GUGCUCGUUUUGGCAGCACAUAUACUAAAAUUGGAAUGAUACGGAGCAGAUCAGUAUGGCUCCUGCACAAGGAUGAUACACAGAUUCUUAAACUGUUCCAUAUUUUU
Molecule: small nuclear RNA, 107 nt
Organism: Balaenoptera musculus (blue whale)
Lineage: Eukaryota; Metazoa; Chordata; Mammalia; Artiodactyla; Balaenopteridae
Source: Ensembl